UUCUUAUCCAGAGAGGUGUAGGGACUGGCCCGAUGAUACCUCAGCAACAGACUUGUAAAAGUACUGUGCUAAUUCCAGAAGCGUAAGUGUAAUGCUUACUGCUUGGAGAUGAGAA
Sporosarcina psychrophila is the source of this 115-nucleotide non-coding RNA. The record is from Rfam. NCBI's taxonomy places the organism in Bacteria, Bacillati, Bacillota, Bacilli, Caryophanales, Caryophanaceae.